Long non-coding RNA from Carassius auratus (goldfish), 1295 nucleotides. RefSeq lists it as uncharacterized. The record is from RefSeq and is a predicted model, not a curated record. NCBI's taxonomy places the organism in Eukaryota, Metazoa, Chordata, Actinopteri, Cypriniformes, Cyprinidae. The transcript is spliced from 7 exons.
AAAAUUCAUGAGGCUUGGCGUCCUCGCGCUCCUGCUGUUUGCGCGCAUGCGCGUGGAAGAGCGAUUUCAAAUACAAGGAAGUAACGGCUCCUUUCCUCAAAGAAAGAAACACCCGCUGCGCAAGCUGCGAUGCUUACGAGUCUAAUGCACUUUGUGGGACGAAAUGGAGACUACAAACACAAGAAAAUCCAGUAUGACUUCUCUAAAAGUCUCAAAGGAUUCACAGAACAGCACUAUCAGUUAAUAAAGAAAUGUGUCUCUGUAGUGGACACCUGUGAGGCAGAGGACAGACAGCUGCUGAAGUCUGAUGCUGGCUGACAAUAAACAGACCUCUCUGGACGUACCCCAUCUUUUGUAGAGUAAUUCUAACAUUGCCCUUCCUGUAAAAUGAUGAUCCUGCUGUCCUGGAUGUAUAUGAUGAGCCUACACAUAAUCUCAGAACAGCUGUGGUAAUAGCAGGAGACCCAUUUGGUGAGAGCAGCACUGCAGUCUUUCCUGAUGGAGGAGACCAUGGACCAUUUCCAUAAGACUGAUGAUGUGUUUCAGCGGCCAUCAGCAUCGUAAAUCCUCACCAUUUUUUAAUAUUUUGAUUUUUUAAAAAUUAUGUGCAUUAAUAACGCUAUACUUUGUAUUAUAUCACAUUUGUAUCAAAUUACUAAAAAAAAAAUAGCUAAUGCAAGGGUGUUUCAAAUCCAGAGUCUUUUGGAGGAAUGCUAAAUUUGACAUUGUUUUAUCUUCUGACUGCUGUUAUCAGUCUCUGUCAGAUUUUUUCCUUUGAUUGAAAGUUGUGAAAAUGCUAUCUUUAGAGUUUUUGUUUUGUUAUUUGAGUAAAUGAGAAUGCAAAAAUAUUUGUGAUACUCUCCCAUUCACUGCUCUCGAAGUUAACCCAACUAUAACAACUUCCGCUGCUGAGAAACUGGUUUAUUAAGCUAUCUUGAGGCUUAUCAAUUUCUUAAAAUGUCCUGUGAUAAUUCUUCCAAUCAGUUUCCAUAAUUUAGAACAGGAAAGAAAAUGUUACUAUUAGUUGCAUUGUGUCUAAAAUUGAAUUGAAUUUAUUAAUUUAAAUUGUAUCAUUGUUGCAGGUACAUUAAAUGUUUUUUAAAGUUCUAAGAUAAUUGAGUCACAUUUAUUUGUUUAUAAUUUUACCAAGGUGUAAAUGUUUUUUUUUGUUGUUUUAUAUUUGUUUAUAGCAAUAUUAACACUGAUGUGUCCAUGAAUGGGAUUGUGAUGUGCAGUAUUGACUAUUUAAGGUGAUUAUGGAUAUUGUUGCUUAUCAAUAAACUAUGUUUUAUAUG